Molecule: long non-coding RNA, 1742 nt
Filed under: Homo sapiens (human)
Lineage: Eukaryota; Metazoa; Chordata; Mammalia; Primates; Hominidae
Description: HSALNT0136282
Source: RNAcentral
GUCCAAGGUCUGUGACAUUACAUAUCACAUGAAAUCUGGUUAUUUAAAAGAAUCUAGGCUCUUCCCCCACCCCCCACUGUUUGCUCCUUUUCUGGCCAUGUGACCUGCCUGCUUUUCCUUUGUCUUCUGCCAUGAGCAAAAGCUCCCUGAGGUCUCCCCAGAAGCUUAGCUGAUUCAGGUGCCAUGCUCGUACAGCCUGCAGAACUGUCAGCCAAAUAAACCUAUUUUCUUUAUAAGUUACCCAGUGUCAGGUAUUCCUUUGUAGCAAUGCAAAAGGACUAGAACUGGCAGGAAAGUUUGUGAUGACAGCAGUGGACAUAUGGACCAUGUGAUAUGUAAUGUCAUACAUUAUCACCCAACCAGAAAUUACACAUGCUGCAAGGGGCCAGGCAGGUGGACAUGUGAAGCCUCUUGGUCAGGGGUGGGGAGCUGUGGCCAAUGGCAAAGAAAGUCCAGGCACAGUCCACUCCUCAGAUCCAGGCUUUUGAUGCCAUGUGGCAACACUGGUGGUCUUUUAUUGUGAGGGAAUCCAGAAAUCCAGAUUUUUGUGAAAAAAAAUCCCGAUUUUAAAAUAUCAAAAUGUUUAAGAAUUUUCAAGUCAAACAAACCAUGUCCUGAGUGCUAACAUUAAUCUAGAUAGAUUAAUCUACACAUACUCUGUAUAACUCACACAAUCAGUAGCCCUCCCUUGAUUCCUCUUCUUAAUAUAAUAACUAGAACAUUGUUAAACACCAGAAGGAAUUUUGUGCAGUUUUAUUUCACUUCUGCAUUGAGGCAUUCCUUCAACAAUCCUGUGUUCAGUGCCUUCUUGUCAGGCAUUACUCUACUUAGUGGAGAAUAAGGGCUGUACGUGUAGGAAAGGAAAAUAAUCUUUUCCUCACCCACCCUAGGUUCAUGGCUGAGGCUCCUAUAACAAAAUACAGAUGAACAAGAAAACGGCCUACACAUUUAUUUAUUUAUUUAUUUAUUUAUUUAUUUAGGAGACAGAUUCUUCCUCUGUCACCCAGGCUGAGUGCAGUGGCACAAUCUUGGCUCACUGGAACCCCCACUUUCUGGGUUCAAGUGAUUCUCCUGCCUUACCCUCCCAGGUAGCUGGGGCUACAGGUAUGUGCCACCAUGUCCAGCUAAUUUUUUUGUAUUAUGGUAGAGAUGGGGUUUCGCCAUGUUGCCCAGGUUGGUCUUGAACUCCUGAGCUCAGGCAAUCUGCCUGCUUCAGCAUCCCAAAGUGCUAGGGUUACAGGCGUGUAACUCUAGGACAGGGGAAAAGUUAAGCAAAGAUGAAGUUUCUGCUGUAGUUCAGCCUCAGCCUGCUCCCACAGAGAGUUUGAAUGGCAUCACAAAGUUGGCAUCACCUUAAGGUGAGGGGGUCAGGUUUUGCAGGCCUCUGUAUCAGCCCUCAGUUGUGAAUGCCUUUGGAGGAAGGCAAAGUCCUCCAGAAACUUCCAGGUGAAUAGCAAUUCUUUGGAGAAGUGUGCAGUUGUGAGCCAUUGGUGGCUAUCACUCACAGCAGCUGGGGAACUUGGUGUACCAAUCUGGUAAGGGUUUGGGGUGGACAAAGCACCAACAGCAUUACUGCAUUUUGCCACAGUGAUUUCUACAAAUGUGCAGUGAGCUUUACAGGAAUGGUAAUCAUGCAAGAAACCUGUUGUUUUAUUCUUCGCCAACACACUAAUUGUAAGUUUGGUAACUUUUUUAGUCUUGUGCGUUUUCCCCUUUAAAUAUGCUUUUAUUUUUGGUUACCC